CAGGAAGCUGACGGAACUCUUCGGAGGGAAGGCAGUGGAAUGAGCGGCGGACGGGUGAGUAACACGUAAGGAACCUGCCUCAAGGAUUGGGAUAACUCCGAGAAAUCGGAGCUAAUACCGGAUAGUUCAACGGACCGCAUGGUCCGCUGAUGAAAGGCGCUUCGGCGUCACCUUGAGAUGGCCUUGCGGUGCAUUAGCUAGUUGGUGAGGUAACGGCCCACCAAGGCGACGAUGCAUAGCCGACCUGAGAGGGUGAUCGGCCACACUGGGACUGAGACACGGCCCAGACUCCUACGGGAGGCAGCAGUAGGGAAUCUUCCACAAUGGACGAAAGUCUGAUGGAGCAACGCCGCGUGAGUGAUGAAGGUUUUCGGAUCGUAAAACUCUGUUGUAAGGGAAGAACACGUACGAGAGGGAAUGCUCGUACCUUGACGGUACCUUACGAGAAAGCCACGGCUAACUACGUGCCAGCAGCCGCGGUAAUACGUAGGUGGCAAGCGUUGUCCGGAAUUAUUGGGCGUAAAGCGCGCGCAGGCGGCCUUUUAAGUCUGAUGUGAAAGCCCCCGGCUCAACCGGGGAGGGCCAUUGGAAACUGGAAGGCUUGAGUACAGAAGAGAAGAGUGGAAUUCCACGUGUAGCGGUGAAAUGCGUAGAGAUGUGGAGGAACACCAGUGGCGAAGGCGACUCUUUGGUCUGUAACUGACGCUGAGG
Molecule: ribosomal RNA, 711 nt
Filed under: Exiguobacterium acetylicum
Lineage: Bacteria; Bacillati; Bacillota; Bacilli; Caryophanales
Description: bacterial SSU rRNA
Rfam family: Bacterial small subunit ribosomal RNA
Source: RNAcentral